AGCCCAGUGGUGUACUGGUAACACAUCCUCUUCAUUUGAUCAACAGAAGUCCAAGUCGGAGGAAGACCCCUGUUCAAUUCGGGGCUGGGCCA
Mycena galericulata is the source of this 92-nucleotide non-coding RNA. NCBI's taxonomy places the organism in Eukaryota, Fungi, Basidiomycota, Agaricomycetes, Agaricales, Mycenaceae. The record is from the annotation of a GenBank genome assembly.